GAGAAAUGGCAUUCCCCCGGGGCAGGAUGGAGGCAGCAGAGUGGCGGCGCCUGCUUCACCUCCUCAAGGACGCGCGGGUCAGGGUGACGAGGGAGUAUGGAAGUUUUUUGAUACCAGAGAAAACCAUCACUGAGGAGGAGGAGUGGAGAGAGCUGGAGGACGUCACUAUCAAUUUGUGGGGGUGUAAGGUGUACAGGGAAUCUGACGAGGUGUGUUUCUUGUCAGCCUCAAUUUUUGACUUUCGAGUCUGAUGAAGAAGAUGAAGAUGAGGAGGAGGAGGACUUAAAAAAUUUAACCUGCUCCACAGCCUGCUGCAUCACCACCACAGCCACCUCCACCACAGCCUGCUACACCACCAUCACAGCCACCACAACACAGUCACUCCACCACAGCCUGCCAAAAGUAGUGGAGACAAAGCGGCGCCCUUUGAGAGUGGUGCCCCCAGUGCUGUGCUGCAUCAAGUGUU
This is a long non-coding RNA of Scylla paramamosain (green mud crab), 466 nucleotides long. RefSeq lists it as uncharacterized. The record is from RefSeq and is a predicted model, not a curated record. Lineage: Eukaryota; Metazoa; Arthropoda; Malacostraca; Decapoda; Portunidae. The transcript is spliced from 3 exons.